Molecule: long non-coding RNA, 195 nt
Organism: Telopea speciosissima
Lineage: Eukaryota; Viridiplantae; Streptophyta; Magnoliopsida; Proteales; Proteaceae
Exons: 3
Source: RefSeq, a predicted model, not a curated record
GGCAAGCGAUAAGUGUCAGCGAGAGAAAAGAAAGACGAUUAAUGGUGAUGAUCUGCUCUGGGCGAUGGCGACGUUGGGUUUCGAAGAUUAUAUUGAUCCCCUUAAGGUGUAUCUGAAUAGGAACAGAGAGAUGGAGGGUGAUACCAAGGGAUCUACAAAGAGUGGUGAUAAAAGGGAUGCUGUUGGAGUUCAACC